GCCCUGGUGGUGUAGCCUGGCCUAUCAUGAAGCCCUGUCGCGGCUUCGACCCGGGUUCAAAAGUAUUAAGCUGAAAGUCCCGGCCAGGGCG
This 91-nucleotide transfer RNA is filed under the name Candidatus Woesearchaeota archaeon. RNAcentral's name for it is "tRNA-Asp". The record is from RNAcentral. Lineage: Archaea; Nanobdellati; Candidatus Woesearchaeota.